This 2505-nucleotide long non-coding RNA is filed under the name Rattus norvegicus (Norway rat). Its description in RNAcentral is "long non-coding RNA NONRATT005938". Lineage: Eukaryota; Metazoa; Chordata; Mammalia; Rodentia; Muridae. The record is from RNAcentral.
CCGGCGACUCACCCGGAAGGAGAAGCCGGAAUCUGCAUCUGGCUAUAUGGUUCGGUGCUGGUGGUGUCGCUAUAGAGAGCUGCUGCUGCUGCUCUCAGGAGCCAGCCGGGAUCGUUUGUUGGCAGUACAUAUUGGCUGAAGUCAGUUUUCAUUUCAAGAUGUUCUCUUCCGAUGGGCUUUUGGUGUAGGAUGUUGGAGAACCAAGAGCUGGAGGAGGUGAUCACCGUGCGAGUUCAGGACCCCCGGCUGCAGAAUGAGGGCUCCUGGAAUUCUUAUGUGGAUUAUAAGAUAUUCCUCCAUACGAACAGCAAGGCCUUUACUGCCAAGACCUCCUGUGUGCGACGGCGCUACCGUGAGUUUGUGUGGCUGAGGAAGCAGCUACAGAGGAACGCGGGCUUGGCCUGUACCAGAACUUCCCGGAAAGUCCACUUUCUUUGGCAGCUCUGAUGAGUUUAUUGAGAAGCGACGUCAAGGUCUCCAGCAUUUCCUGGAAAAGGUCCUGCAGAGCGUGGUUCUCCUGUCCGACAGUCAGUUGCAUCUCUUCCUCCAAAGCCAGCUCUCAGUGCCCGAGAUCGAAGCCUGUGUCCAGGGCCGGGGCUCCAUGACGGUGUCUGACGCCAUUCUUUCCUAUGCUAUGUCCAACUGUGGCUGGGCCCAGGAGGAGAGGCAGAGCACCUCUCACCUGGCUAAAGGAGACCAACUUAACAGUUGCUGCUUUCUUCCAAGAUCAGGAAGGAGGAAUUCCCCUUCACCACCUCUCAGUGAAGAGAAGGACCACGUAGAAACCUGGGCUCCAGUAAUCGACUCUGAAGGCCCAUCCUUAGACAGCCCCAUGCUGCCACCCAGCUCCUCGCCAGCCUGCUGUGAUCCGGCAAGACCAGAUGAGGGACUCUCUGGGUCCCAGCCUGCGAGAAGGGCUGUGGCAGGGGACCCUGCUGUGCCUUUGGAUCCUGGUCAGCUAGACACAGUGUGGGGAAAGUGAGCUGUGGCUGUUCUCUCUGUUCUCCUGGGUGGUGGAGAAGAUGCCGCCAGGGUCACAUUCAGGUGGGGUUGAGGACAGGGCGGGUGUGGGGAAGUCGGGUUGAGCAUCCUCCAUUCAAAUCUGCGCAGGUUUGUCAUGCAGAGGUUCUGGCUGCCUGCUACAGCUCCUCCAUGGGAACAAACACCACACUGGUGUUUGUGAGUUAGGUGCAGGGCCCAGAAGCUGUUGGUUUUAAAUAGAACUGUAUUUACUUUCCCAGGAGGUGAGUUUCUUCAGGUGUUUGUUUAAAGAGAACUGUCACAGGCGAAUGGUGAAUGUUGGAGAACCCCUUCGUGGUAGAUCUUUAGCUGCCAUGUUGGACAUUCCAUGUUGGACAUUGUCCCAACAGACAGUUCCUAUCGUUCUAUUCCCUUCUUGGCAGGCUUCCAUUUUUGCUGUAGCCCCUGGAGAUUUUGGUUGUGGGAGGCUGACCUCUUGCUUGCCUCCUUGUGUGGACAAGGUAGCAAAGAUGUAGUUGCCCCCUCCUUGCCUUGUGGCCACAAUGUGACUAUUUGCUGGGCUUUCCAGCAUCUUCCAAGACCUCACCAGGUUAAGUGGGGCCUGAGAGGUGUAGGCAGUUAAAGCCUAUCCAGGCAUGGCUGGCACAGCCAGAGGGAAAGGAACAGGUCGGAGGCGUUGCUUGGGCAGUCUGGGCUGCCCAUCUUCUGCUUAUAAAGUAGAGCUGGUGUUUCUGCAGGAUUGAAGUGGGCUCCCUUUUUCAGAUCCUUUUCUUCCUCUCUUAAUAACUCCAUGACCCCAGAGCUUUGACUGCCAGGGCCUACGGCUGCAUUCCUUGGAAGCUGCAAGUUCAGUCCAGUGGGGCCACAGGCUUUGUUUCGGCCGGGAAGUGAGGGCUGGGGAUGGAGGUAAGGAGACCUAAGCUGUCCUGCAGACAGUGCGGCUCCUGUCUCCUGCUGCUGAAUGGGCUCUGCAGAGAGCAGGGGCUGCUAGCUGGAGUGCUAGGGCGGGCUGAGUGCCGGGCUCACCUUGCCACUGCUCUGCUCUUAGGUUUGUGUGUGUGUCUCACUCUGGCCAUCCACUCCAGCUGUGCGGUCCACCUCAGCUGUGGCACUACUGGCCUGCAUUGUGGGACUGGCCUGGCAUUUAGUUCAGAGUCGAGGGGCUUUGGCCUGAAAUAAAAUGCAAGUAUUUAAGACUGUUGUUGCAAUUUGUGUCUAACAAGCUGUAGCAGGGAAGGAGGGAGUGAGAGCUGGCAGGAGUUACUUUCAUAAAUCAUGAAUUUAUCAGCGUGGAAAUAACACUGUAGACCUGUGCACUGGAACUCUCCUGCAUUAUGUGUGUGACUCAAGUUCACCACUGCAGGAGAGACGGUUUUCCAGAGAGCUAGGAUGCAGCUCUUCUCACAGAUCUGGGCAUGAACCUUGUUAGGUAUAAUUUACCUGAUGCUGCCUCCAUCUUGGAAGCCUGUCUGAGGUGCCAGGUGCUAAAAGAGAAAUAAAGUUUGUCAACAGGCAGAUGCAAAA